CUCAUUAUAGCUCAUAUACGCAAUUAGAAGUAGAAUUAAAGAGAUUACAAGUAGAAACAUCUCCAUUAUGUCAAUUUCUUGGCUAAAAAUGAUAUCAGAUGCCAUAUAAACUUCCAUUAAAUUUUCUGCCUUUGCAUAACAAUGAAUUCACAAAUAUAUUGUCUAAUCUAUUUACAUUAUGCGAAGGAACGACAUAAGAUGCUGUUUUUGUCCUAUUUGACUCCAAAGAAAUCUCAUUCAUUUGUCCUUGAUACAAAAUCUAUCAAGUCUUCAAGAGUCAAUUUGAGGGUUCUGAAGUAAAUAUCUAGCAUUAUGCAGGGUUGCACUGGCCUCCUCAUUUGAGGCAUCAAGCAUCCGCAGUUCUUUGAUCUCCUCCUGCCAUUUCUCCAUUUGUUCCUUAUGAAUCAUGAUCAACCGCUCUUCAAAUUCAUUACUCAUUUCCUUAAACAUUGCCUUUCCUGAUUCCAGUAGCUCAGAUACCUACAUGAAUCAAUGACGGCAUAAAAUUUAACGGGCAGAAAAAGUUCUACAAAUAUAAUUAUGCCUACAAGUAGAUGCUUCCAAAUUAUAUAUAGAUCAUCUCCUCAUCUGAGUUGAUCAUAGGCCUAUUUCAAACUUUCAAAAUCCAUGGCAUUUCAACUGUUUGGAGAAAGAUGGUAGAUAACUUACAAAACGGGGAUCAUGGACGAUACAUCAGAAAAAAUACUCUAUCGUAUAUACUUUCCAAGCCAUAUAAAAAAUAUAUAUAUAAUUUGCCAGAGCUACCAUUUGAGUGAAGUGUUCAAUCUUCUCAACAAUGUGAGCAAUAUUAAGUUCCAUCUCUUCAGAUCCGAGAGUGUUUGUCUCGGUCUCUUCCUUUUCUACAAUCUCCAGCGCUGUUCCAUCUCUUACCUCCUGUUCCUUCUCUUCCAUUCCAAGCUUCAUGCGCUUCCUCAAAAUUUCAUCUUCUUCGUUUUCCAUUUCAGUAGCUGAAGUUUAAAGCUGCAUUCAAACAACACCAUUUCCAGCAGCGACUAAUUUGAAAGAAACACAACAAAUGACGAAUCUACCUUCAACAACGUGAUUUUGAAUCAAAUUGUGCAAAUGAAACAGAGACCAUUACCUCAAAUGGAAUCGCCAAUUAAAUCUGCGAUUGAUCUCUGAAACUUCCUGCCAGGGACUGAGGGGGGAGAGAAAGGAAAUGCAAUGUGAAUUAAAAUGGAAUCGUUUGGUUCCAAACUAUUUUAAAAUUUUUGGAAAGAGUUGGGGAUGCGCGG
RNAcentral lists this unclassified non-coding RNA (1256 nucleotides) under Hevea brasiliensis (rubber tree). The record is from RNAcentral. Lineage: Eukaryota; Viridiplantae; Streptophyta; Magnoliopsida; Malpighiales; Euphorbiaceae.